GAGGGUAUAGCUCAGUGGUAGAGUGCAUGCUUAGCAUGCAUGAGGUGCUGGGUUCAAUCCCCAGUGUCUCCA
Molecule: transfer RNA, 72 nt
Filed under: Camelus bactrianus (Bactrian camel)
Lineage: Eukaryota; Metazoa; Chordata; Mammalia; Artiodactyla; Camelidae
Also listed under: 1 other name
Rfam family: tRNA
About the family: Transfer RNA (tRNA) molecules are approximately 80 nucleotides in length. Their secondary structure includes four short double-helical elements and three loops (D, anti-codon, and T loops). Further hydrogen bonds mediate the characteristic L-shaped molecular structure. tRNAs have two regions of fundamental functional importance: the anti-codon, which is responsible for specific mRNA codon recognition, and the 3' end, to which the tRNAs corresponding amino acid is attached (by aminoacyl-tRNA synthetases). tRNAs cope with the degeneracy of the genetic code in two manners: having more than one tRNA (with a specific anti-codon) for a particular amino acid; and 'wobble' base-pairing, i.e. permitting non-standard base-pairing at the 3rd anti-codon position.
Source: Rfam by way of RNAcentral